RNAcentral lists this ribosomal RNA (781 nucleotides) under Meloderma dracophylli. Its description in RNAcentral is "mitochondrial SSU rRNA". It matches the Rfam family "Bacterial small subunit ribosomal RNA", at positions 415 to 1168 of the family's 1533-position model. The record is from RNAcentral. Lineage: Eukaryota; Fungi; Ascomycota; Leotiomycetes; Rhytismatales; Rhytismataceae.
UUGGGGGAAUGUAUAGUCCUCUUAUGAGGCUAGUUGUGUUUUGAAUAAAGGUAAAAGGUUAUAAAAAUAAACAUAACACCAACUACGUUGGCUAAAAUUCUAGAUAGAAUACUUAUUAUGACUAUUUUCUAUCUAAAUGUCUUGACCAAAUUACGUGCCAGCAGUCGCGGUAAUACGUAGAAGACUAGUGUUAUUCAUCUUUAAUAGGUUUAAAGGGUACCUAGACGGCAUUAUUAACCCAAAACAGGGAUAUAAUUUUGGCUAGAGUUUGAUAUAAGAAGAGAGUAUUUUGGGUGGAGAGUUGAAAUUCAUUAAUACCCCGAGGACUUAUAAUGGCAAAAGCACUCUUCUAUGUAAUAACUGACGUUAAGGGACGAAGGCUUGGGGCGCAAAGAGGAUUAGAUACCCUAGUAGUCCAUGCAGAUAAUUAUGAAUGCCAUAGACUAGAUAAAGUUAGUUUAUAAAUGAAAGUGUAAGCAUUCCACCUCAAGAGUACUGUGGCAACGCUGGAACUGAAAUCAUUAGACCGUUUCUGAGAACAGUAGUGAAGUAUGUUAUAUAAUUCGAUAGUCCUCGUAAAACCUUACCACAACUUGAAUAGUAUGCAAUUAAUAAUAUAUUCAAGCUAUAGAAUUAAGAGGAUGCUACAAGUGUUGCACGGUUGUCUUCAGCUAAUGUCGUGAGAUUUUGGUUAGUUCCAUAAAAUUAGCGUAAACCCCGGUUUUAUUUUUUAAUAAUUAUAAUGAUAAAGCAGUUCGUCACUUACAUCGAUAUGUGAUAG